CUUCAGGGAGGAGCUGAGCUGUUACUGAACUAUAGAAGAGACACAAACUUCCACAUUCAACACAGUUCAAACAUUAACUCUGAUCAUCAUGCUGUCUUUGCUCACAUCUGGAUUUACUCUGCUGGUUCUGCUUAUAGGAACAGGUGUAAACUGUCAACAACUCACUGCAGCAAAGACUGAGGAGUUCAUUUUAGAGGGCGGCUCUGUUACUCUGUCCUGCAGUUACAAGAAAGAAUCAGCUUUUAAUUUGUUCUGGUAUCGACAAUAUCCUGGAAAACCUCCAGAGUUCCUGAAGUCCCACUCACCUUCAGGUGAAGUACAACAUCUGGACAGAAUGAAAUUUGAAGGAACCAAAGAAGAAAUGAAGAUGACCAUCUCCUCUGCUGCAAUGGCAGACUCUGCUGUUUACUACUGUGCUGUGAGGCCCACAGUGACAGGAAACACCAGAACUCUGUACAAGAACCUGCAAUACUCCACAACAUCCACUAGAGGGCCUCACACACUGUUAACCCACUGGAUGCUGAUUCAGUGGUCUGAUGACAAAGACAAAAGAGACAAGAAACAGUAA
Non-coding RNA from Cyprinodon tularosa, 568 nucleotides. NCBI's taxonomy places the organism in Eukaryota, Metazoa, Chordata, Actinopteri, Cyprinodontiformes, Cyprinodontidae. The record is from the annotation of a RefSeq genome assembly.